Non-coding RNA from Solanum lycopersicum (tomato), 3167 nucleotides. NCBI's taxonomy places the organism in Eukaryota, Viridiplantae, Streptophyta, Magnoliopsida, Solanales, Solanaceae. The record is from RefSeq and is a predicted model, not a curated record.
UAAGCAACAAGCAAGUGCAUGGAGAAUCUGGUGAAGAUUGGUAAUAAUAUCUUGCAAAAGCCUAUUUCAAGGAUGAAUCUUGAAACCUGCAUAAAUGAAGCUGUUGAGAAUGAAGUCACAAAUGAACAAGCUCUUAUCAGAACAACAAACUUUUCAUCCAUGGAUUCUUUACCGGUGAAUUGGGAGGCACUAGACACACUGAUUAUCGAUUUCGUCAAAUCGGAAAACCUAAUCGAAGACUCAGGUUCUCCUUCAACUUCGCCGUCGACGUCUCUAUCGCCGUCUUCGUCAACCUCAUCUUCAUCUUCUUCCUCUUAUCAGUCAAGGUUGCUUAUUCGGCAGAUCAGACGUUUAGUGGAGUUUGGUGACAUUGAUGCCGCUAUUGAUCUCUUGCGUGUGCAUGCGCCUUUUGUUCUUGAUGAUCAUCGUCUUCUCUUUUGCUUACAGAAGCAGAGGUUUAUUGAGCUUUUGAGGAAAGGAACUACAGAGGACCGAGAAUCUGCCAUUAAUUGCCUCCGAGAGUCACUGGCACCUUGUGCGUUGGAUGCAUAUCCAGAAGCAUAUGAGGAAUUUAAGCAUAUUCUUCUUGCCUUGGUUUAUGACGAAGAAGAUAAGAAUUCUCCUGUGGUGAGUGAGUGGUCUCCAAGGAGGAGGAUUGACAUUGCUGGACUGCUGUCAUCUGUUUUAAGGGCUCAUUUAUGUGCGUAUGAUCCUCUUUUUGCAAUGUCAUUGAGGUACUUGAUAAGCACACACAAAUUAUUUUGCUUUCGUCAGGGAGUUCCAUCGCCUAUAUCAGAUCUUACACAGAGAUUACUUCUUGAGGACCGUGACCCCCCUGCAACACCACUUGAGAGUUCCUAUGAAGCACCUCCAUUUGAUGAGGUGGACAUACAAGCUCUUGCUCAUGCGGUAGAGCUUACAAGGCAGGGGGCUAUUGAUAGCUUGAGAUUCGCCAAGGGUGACUUAUAUCAAGCAUUUCAGAAUGAGCUGUGCCGGAUAAGAUUGGAUGACCCCAUGUUUGAUGAGCUUGUUCAUGAGUAUUGUGUCUAUAGGGGUUUUGUCAACUUCAGUGUGGUUGAUUCUCCUGGGAUGCAACUUAGUAUCAAUGACGAUCAAUCAGAGUCUGGACAAUUAUCAAAGAACUGUUCCACAGAAGUUGGGGACGGAAACACUAAACUUUCUGGCAGUGACACGUCUGCUUCUCAAGUUAUCAUGGAGGGAUCACCUGAAAGUACCAACUUGGCUAGCAUUCAAAGUACUGAUACCGAAGAACGCUACCCUAGUGAAACAAGUUAUGGAGAUUGCAGUACCAGUGGGACCCCUCAGUUUGAAAAAGUUCUGCAGAAAAAUAAGUGUCUUAGAGUUGGUGAAACAAACAAGCGGAAAAGAUGGAGGGGGAGACAUGAAAACACAGAAUUUGUGUCUGGACCUACCAGUGAAAGGAGCAGAGAAGAUCUUAAUGCCGACACAACAAUGUUGAAAGAUCAGCAGGUUUCUCCAAAAUCAUGCUUCCUGAAUAUGAUGAAGAAUAGAGAGGACAAGCAUGAGCUUGUGCUGGGCUUGAAGGAAUUAGCUAGCAGAGGAAUGACAGAGGAGGUUGUUGAGGAGAUCAAUGAGAUGGAUUCAAACUUUUUUGUGCAGAACCCUUCUCUGCUUUUUCAACUUAAGCAGGUUGAAUUUUUGAAGCUGGUUGGCUCUGGGGAUCAUACUCAGGCACUGAGGGUAGCCUGUUCUUUUCUGGGCCCUUUGGCUUCUAGUCAUCCUGAUCUGUUGAAGCCAUUGAAGGAGACUUUGCUAGCUUUGCUCAAACCUAAUGAAGAGGCAUUUAAUGAUCGCUUGCCCUUAUGUGUUCUUGCCAAUUCACUCCAGGUUGCUAUUGGUAGGAGGCUUGGUAUUGAAGAACCCCAGCUUAUGAAGAUCAUAAGGGCCACGCUGUAUACACACAGUGAGUGGUUCAAACUUCAAAUGUGUAAAGAUCGAUUUGAGGGGCUCUUGAGGAUCGACGCCCUGAAGGAAGUUGGUGCCAAAUUGAUUAUAGAUGCUUCCAGAUUGGAUGUUGACAUGAGCACUGAUGGAUCAUCUCAAGUUACUGGUUCCUCAAAUAAUAGGAAACAGGAAGAUGGAAGUCCAACCCAGUCAUCGGCCAGAGAUGUUGGAUGUGAUGAAACUGCAAUACUAAAAGUUAUGGAAUUUCUAGCAUUGCCCAGAGCAGAUGCAAUUCACCUCCUUGCACAGUACAACGGGAAUGCAGAGACAGUCAUUCAGCAGAGAUAUUUGCAUAGCCCCUAAAUUAUAGCUGAACAGCACGUCGCCACCGCAGUUCUUCCAGACCUAGAUGAUUUCCCUAAACCCGAUCCAAAAUACGCAGAAACUAUUCAUGCAGUUGUUCGUGUCACUUCGGGAAAGGACUUCGCCGCCAAAGAGAGGAAAGCUGGGCGGGUACCCAGCAUAGUGUUUGAACAAGAGGAUGCCCAACAUGGUGGUAACACAAGACUCAUCUCUGUUUAGGCUAAUCAGAUAAGGAAGCUUGUUAACCAUCUCGGUCACUCCCAUUUCUUAUCCAGUUUGUUUGAUCAUGAGGUUUACCCUCUACUGACGUUAUUGAGAAAGUUCGAGUUCUGCUCAGAAAGGUUCAUCUGGAAGCUGGUUCAGAUGCGCCUCGUAAUGUUACCUUUAAAAGAGCUCCAUCAAGUGCUUUACUAAAGGUUGGGGUUCCUCUUAUAUUUAGAGGCUCCGGUUUGAAGAAAGGUAGAAAUGUUGGCGCUGCCGAGGUACUAAUGCAAAUGUCCGCCAGUUCCGCAUCCAAAACAGGUUUUGAUUUUGUCUACAGGAAAUGGUUAGUUUCACUUUACCAUUUCUUUUUUUUUUAAUGAUUUACAGUACUAUUAAGGGGUAUAGAAGAUACCUCAUAUGAGCUGAAGAUGACAGGCUGAAGUUCCUUGAUGUCAAAAGUUGGGAUUACGACGGCAGUUAAGGUAUCAUGCAACCUGGUACCUCCUAGGAGUCCCUUUAUAAGUGUGUGAAGAUACUUCCCAUCAUAUUUUGGUCUGUUCAACAUUUUUGUUAGAUUUAUUGCCCCACCAAAUGGUCCACUGCAAAAAUCCAAAAUCAAGACAUGUGUAUUUUAAGGGUGUGGUCUAAUAACCAAAAAGAAAAAUCAAGAACUA